GAAUGUGAAGGUGAUCUGGCUGCGACAUCUGUCACCUCACUGAUCACCAGGGUUGAUUACGCUGAUCUGACUGGCUAGGCGGGUGUCCCUGUCCUCCCUCAAUGCUCCAUGCGCGUCCUUUCUGAGCUGCGCGCUGGGUCUAAGAAGACGACCACCCGCAUAGAAGAGGACCAGCCCCUUUCCUCCAUCAGUGGUAUAUGAGUAGCUGUGGUCCCAGCCUAGAACCUCCCUCUCACAAUGUUACAGUGAACUAACUGUUCACCAAGCAGAAUCAAAUCCAAUCUUGCAAACUUGCUUUUCAAAUGUAAGAGCUAAAGUUGUGAC
RNAcentral lists this small nuclear RNA (324 nucleotides) under Chinchilla lanigera (long-tailed chinchilla). RNAcentral's name for it is "7SK RNA (ENSCLAG00000022169.1)". It matches the Rfam family "7SK RNA". From Rfam's summary of the family: 7SK was discovered as an abundant small nuclear RNA in the mid-70s but a possible function has only recently been suggested. The record is from Rfam by way of RNAcentral. Lineage: Eukaryota; Metazoa; Chordata; Mammalia; Rodentia; Chinchillidae.